RNAcentral lists this ribosomal RNA (382 nucleotides) under uncultured eukaryote. RNAcentral's name for it is "partial 18S ribosomal RNA". It matches the Rfam family "Eukaryotic small subunit ribosomal RNA", at positions 592 to 976 of the family's 1831-position model. The record is from RNAcentral.
UGUAAGCGUAUACCAAAGUUGUUGCAGUUAAAACGCUCGUAGUCGGAAUUUGGCAGUUCCGGAUGUGUGCACGUCGUGUGCGCACUUCGCGGGGAUUGCUUUUGUGGUCUUGCGUAGGAUGAGGCACUUUUAUUAGUGAACGUCCUCACGCAACCACUUUUUACUGUGAGAAAAUCAGAAUGCUCAAAGCAGGCAUUUGCCGUGAAUGUAUUAGCAUGGAAUAAUAGAAUAGGACUUGGUUCUAUUUUGUUGGUUUGUUGGGACUGAGUAAUGAUUAAGAGGGACAGUUGGGGGCAUUUGUAUUUCGGUGCUAGAGGUGAAAUUCUUAGAUUACCGAAAGACAAACUGCUGCGAAAGCGUCUGCCAAGGAUGUUUUCAUUGA